RNAcentral lists this unclassified non-coding RNA (252 nucleotides) under uncultured Paenibacillaceae bacterium. RNAcentral describes it as "contains 16S-23S intergenic spacer region". It matches the Rfam family "Bacterial small subunit ribosomal RNA", at positions 524 to 776 of the family's 1533-position model. Lineage: Bacteria; Bacillati; Bacillota; Bacilli; Caryophanales; Paenibacillaceae. The record is from RNAcentral.
UACGUAGGGGGCAAGCGUUGUCCGGAAUUAUUGGGCGUAAAGCGCGCGCAGGCGGCCGUGUAAGUCUCAUGUAUAAACCCGGGGCUCAACCGCGGGACGCAUGGGAAACUGUGCGGCUGGAGUGCAGGAGAGGAGAGCGGAAUUCCACGUGUAGCGGUGAAAUGCGUAGAGAUGUGGAGGAACACCAGUGGCGAAGGCGGCUCUCUGGCCUGUAACUGACGCUGAGGCGCGAAAGCGUGGGGAGCAAACAGG